ACGGCUCAGUAACACGUGGAUAACAUGCCCUAAGGUGGGGGAUAAUCUCGGGAAACUGAGGAUAAUACCCCAUAGGUCUUCUCUGCUGGAAUGCUUGAAGGCCGAAAACUCCGGUGCCUUAGGAUUGGUCUGCGGCCUAUCAGGUUGUAGUGGGUGUAAUGGACCCACUAGCCCGUGACGGGUAUGGGCCUUGAGAGAGGGAGCCCAGAGAUGGACUCUGAGACAUGAGUCCAGGCCCUACGGGGCGCAGCAGUCGCGAAAACUUCGCAAUGGGGGCAACCCCGACGAGGGAAUUCCAAGUGCCAGCACUUUGUGUUGGCUGUUCUCCUGUCUAAAAAACAGGAGGAGUAAGGGGCGGGUAAGACGGGUGCCAGCCGCCGCGGUAAUACCCGCGCCCCUAGUGGUGGUCGAUAUUAUUGAGCCUAAAACGUCCGUAGCCGGUCUUUUAAAUCUUUGGGCAAAUCGGGCAGCUUAACUGUCCGACUUCCGAGGAGACUGGAAGACUUGGGACCGGGAGAGGUCAGAGGUACUUCUGGGGUAGGGGUAAAAUCCUGUAAUCCUGGAAGGACCACCGGUGGCGAAGGCGUCUGACUAGAACGGAUCCGACGGUGAGGGACGAAGCCCUGGGGCGCAAACGGGAUUAGAUACCCCGGUAGUCCAGGGUGUAAACGCUGCGGGCUUGGUGUUGGGGGUCCUUCGUGGGCGCCCAGUGCCGGAGAGAAGUUGUUAAGCCUGCUGCUUGGGGAGUAUGUCCGCAAGGAUGAAACUUAAAGGAAUUGGCGGGGGAG
Molecule: ribosomal RNA, 788 nt
Filed under: uncultured archaeon
Lineage: Archaea
Description: bacterial SSU rRNA
Rfam family: Archaeal small subunit ribosomal RNA
Source: RNAcentral